CCAUACCGCGCAGGCGUUUCAGUCUCCUCGCGGCGCCUCUGAUAGCAGCUGAUACCUCUCGUUCGAAGUUGACCGAUGGAAUUGAAAUCGUCCGAGGAUUCGGAACAUUCGGGACGAAAUCGUAAACUCAUGAAGAUCCUGUUGACGAUUGGCUGCUUGGUUGCGGUCGUCGCGUGUUUAGAGGGCGAUGAUCCGCAAGUCACCGAUCAGGUGUACUUCGACAUCAUGAUAGACGAUCAUCCAGCAGGACGAAUCGUGAUUGGUUUGUUCGGAAACGUUACUCCCAAAACCGUAAAAAAUUUCGUCACCCUUGCGACCACUGGUGUAGCUGGGAAAACAUACAAGGGUAGCAAAUUCCAUCGCGUGAUCAAGAAGUUCAUGAUCCAAGGUGGGGAUAUCGAGAACGGUGACGGGACUGGGUCCAUCAGCAUCUACGGUAAAUAUUUUGACGACGAGAAUUUCGACCUUAUCCACGACAGCCCUAUGGUCGUGAGCAUGGCGAACGCAGGAAAAAACACGAACGGCUGUCAGUUUUUCAUCACGACUCUUCCGACGCCGUGGUUGGAUGGAAAGCAUACAGUAUUCGGAAAGGUUGUCAGUGGUCAGGACGUGGUUUUCAAGAUCGAACAGACCAAGACGGACGCUGAUGACGUUCCGGUCAAACCCGUUGUUAUUUUCGACAGUGGCUUAAUUCCUACGCCGCAGCCAUUUGUAAUAGUUGACAACACUUACAAGUAAAUCAAGGACUUUCGCAAAAUGUAGGAGUGCUGAGAGUAGAGGGUUGAGAGUAACUGUCAUCGCAAGUUUACAAAUUUGAUCCUUUCUUUUUUUUGAUUAAUGAAUGUCGUAUAAGUCAUAUAAGUCGUAUAAGUCUAUCUUUUCGAAAAAUGGAGCUUCACCUAGGUUAUCAGUUUGACAGUCGGACUCAUACAUAUGCAAGUUUGCCGAGCUAACGAUUAUGUGAUAAUUCGUAUUUGAUAUUGAUUGUUGACAAAUUUUCUUAUUUAAUUCGAAAAUAUAUAUAACCAUUUAUGUCGUAAUAUAAAUGUUUGAUAUCUUAAAACGAAGGAAGAUGGACUUAUAUUACUUCUAUCACGAACGGUUCGUGAUGUUUCAAUUUAACACAUUCACUGCCAACUACGAGAUGCUCGUAUUUCAAAUUAAUUGGAAUUACUCAAGGAGUCACGAAUUUGAGUCACGAAUUAUUGCAAAAAGAAUCGUAAAUAUUCGUUUUAAAACAACAAAUUUAAUAUCACUUUUUAUUAUCAAAAUAAUAACUUAGAUUACACAUAUGUCUUAAAUCUUGGCGCUGAAGGCAAAACGCAUUAAAUUUGCCUGGCAGUGAAUGAAUUAAAACAGUUUUCAUCUUCCGUGAUCAAGAGCCGUAGACCGACUUGAUGAAAUAUAAAAAUUAUAUUUUAUGCUUUUAUAUUCUUCUUUGGAGUUAUACAGAAGUAAAGUAGAAAUUAAUGAUGCUUCGAGUAGCAGUAGGUGGAUGCCUUAUUAUAUAAAGCCUCUGGGCAUGGGCGAAAGCGACAUGCAUACCCUUGAGUUUCAGUUUCUCGAUUCUCGGCUUCUUCCACUAUAUGAUGAAGCAGUUAGACGUGUAAUUAGUACAAAUUCGUCUAAACAUUCAAUUUACAACGGGGGAAUUGUUCCGACGCAUACGUAAACAGUUGGAACUUGAAGGCGAUUGCAUUCUUGGUUCAGCAAAGUGAUAAUGGAAACGAUCCAGUGAACCAUAAGUGACAUCUAACAUCAGAUAGAGGAACCACUUCUCAAGCGUUAUCAGGAGAAAUUCUGUAAUAUUAUUUUGUAAUCAUUUCAUGUAAAAAGAAAAAAACAAUUAAAAUACUUAACCACGCCUAAA
This is an RNA transcript of Hylaeus anthracinus, 1870 nucleotides long. It is a transcript of the gene named peptidyl-prolyl cis-trans isomerase B-like, with no coding region annotated. The record is from RefSeq and is a predicted model, not a curated record. Lineage: Eukaryota; Metazoa; Arthropoda; Insecta; Hymenoptera; Colletidae. The transcript has 5 exons.